This is a long non-coding RNA of Magallana angulata, 1087 nucleotides long. RefSeq lists it as uncharacterized. The transcript is spliced from 3 exons. The record is from RefSeq and is a predicted model, not a curated record. NCBI's taxonomy places the organism in Eukaryota, Metazoa, Mollusca, Bivalvia, Ostreida, Ostreidae.
UACCGGAAUCUGAGUUGACCAAGUUGGUGUUUUGCAUUUAUAUUGAUUGCAAUUGUUGAAGUUGUAAUAUUGUUUUUGAGCCAUUUGCUAAUUUUUUAUGUUGCAAAUAUUUUCUUUGCCGUUAACCGGAAAGAAUAAAUUUGCACAGUUGGUUGUUUGAAAAUUGUUGAAUUUUUUAGACAAUGAUGUGUUUUUGACCAUACCCAUUUGAAAAUAUGGAUUGGUUUUAUGAGUGCUGACCAUGUUGAGUGUUAGCAUGCUUCAGGUCUACAAUAAUAAGAUUUAUUAAUUAAAAAAUAAAUCAAUUUAUUUUAGAGUGAAGCAAAGUUUUUUAAUUAUUCCGGAAUUUUUUAUUCCGGACAUUUGUACAGUUUUGGUUUACGUUUAACAAACUUCCUUUUUGAAAAAGGCAGCAACCGGGAUGCACAUGAAAUAGUUGUGAGAAAAAUAUUUUCCCCUCCCACCCUUGUUACCCCUUUGAUUUGUUUAAAUAUAAGAAUUUUACUGCGUAUUGAACUUUAUAUUUCAGGAUGAGCUUCAAGAAAUCAUUGAUGGGAAAAAGGUUCACAGAUUCAGUAUUGGUUAACCUUCACAGUUUUUUAAUUGACUAAAGUCAAUUAAGGAGUCUCGACUAGAAAACCAACCACUUCAUGAAAUUGCAUUUUGAAGAAUGUGCUUCUUGUUGUUUCUGUCUUCAUGCUAGAUGAAUGCGCGUGUUGUUCCCGAUCUACUUGUGCACAAUUGAUGUGCAGUUGAAAUUAUUUGAUAAUGACAAUUUGAAGUUGAACAAUUUUUGUCUCGGGUUGCCGUUUACCGGAAUCUGAGUUGACCAAGUUGGUGUUUUGCAUUUAUAUUGAUUGCAAUUGUUGAAGUUGUAAUAUUGUUUUUGAGCCAUUUGCUAAUUUUUUAUGUUGCAAAUAUUUUCUUUGCCGUUAACCGGAAAGAAUAAAUUUGCACAGUUGGUUGUUUGAAAAUUGUUGAAUUUUUUAGACAAUGAUGUGUUUUUGACCAUACCCAUUUGAAAAUAUGGAUUGGUUUUAUGAGUGCUGACCAUGUUGAGUGUUAGCAUGCUUCAGGUCUACAAUAA